Molecule: ribosomal RNA, 796 nt
Filed under: Lacticaseibacillus rhamnosus
Lineage: Bacteria; Bacillati; Bacillota; Bacilli; Lactobacillales; Lactobacillaceae
Description: bacterial SSU rRNA
Rfam family: Bacterial small subunit ribosomal RNA
Source: RNAcentral
AGCAGUAGGGAAUCUUCCACAAUGGACGCAAGUCUGAUGGAGCAACGCCGCGUGAGUGAAGAAGGCUUUCGGGUCGUAAAACUCUGUUGUUGGAGAAGAAUGGUCGGCAGAGUAACUGUUGUCGGCGUGACGGUAUCCAACCAGAAAGCCACGGCUAACUACGUGCCAGCAGCCGCGGUAAUACGUAGGUGGCAAGCGUUAUCCGGAUUUAUUGGGCGUAAAGCGAGCGCAGGCGGUUUUUUAAGUCUGAUGUGAAAGCCCUCGGCUUAACCGAGGAAGUGCAUCGGAAACUGGGAAACUUGAGUGCAGAAGAGGACAGUGGAACUCCAUGUGUAGCGGUGAAAUGCGUAGAUAUAUGGAAGAACACCAGUGGCGAAGGCGGCUGUCUGGUCUGUAACUGACGCUGAGGCUCGAAAGCAUGGGUAGCGAACAGGAUUAGAUACCCUGGUAGUCCAUGCCGUAAACGAUGAAUGCUAGGUGUUGGAGGGUUUCCGCCCUUCAGUGCCGCAGCUAACGCAUUAAGCAUUCCGCCUGGGGAGUACGACCGCAAGGUUGAAACUCAAAGGAAUUGACGGGGGCCCGCACAAGCGGUGGAGCAUGUGGUUUAAUUCGAAGCAACGCGAAGAACCUUACCAGGUCUUGACAUCUUUUGAUCACCUGAGAGAUCAGGUUUCCCCUUCGGGGGCAAAAUGACAGGUGGUGCAUGGUUGUCGUCAGCUCGUGUCGUGAGAUGUUGGGUUAAGUCCCGCAACGAGCGCAACCCUUAUGACUAGUUGCCAGCAUUUAGUUGGGCACU